ACCGCAUAGCUCAGUUGGAAGAGCAUUGGGCUAGUAUUCCAAAGGUCGUAGGUUCGAAUCCCACCGUGGCCG
Molecule: non-coding RNA, 72 nt
Organism: Paramuricea clavata
Lineage: Eukaryota; Metazoa; Cnidaria; Anthozoa; Malacalcyonacea; Plexauridae
Source: the annotation of a GenBank genome assembly